Molecule: transfer-messenger RNA, 371 nt
Filed under: Lacticaseibacillus camelliae
Lineage: Bacteria; Bacillati; Bacillota; Bacilli; Lactobacillales; Lactobacillaceae
Also listed under: 1 other name
Description: Standard tmRNA
Rfam family: transfer-messenger RNA
About the family: Bacterial tmRNA, also known as 10Sa RNA or SsrA, is named for its dual tRNA and mRNA-like properties. Its role is to liberate the mRNA from a stalled ribosome. To accomplish this part of the tmRNA is used as a reading frame that ends in a translation stop signal.
Source: RNAcentral
GGGGACGUAAUGGUCUCGACAUUGGUCGUUUCGCCAGUGGUGCACUCCGGAGGCUCGGCUCCGUCAUCAACGGAACACAGUUUUUAACUGCAAACAACAAUGAAUCAUCUUACGCUCUGGCUGCCUAACAACAGUCUUUAGCGUGAUCCUCCCGGUGUCGCACUAGCGCCGGAUCUGGGUCUCAAUCAAUAGUGCUACGGGUCGCCCUCCCACCUGAAGGUGUGGUCAAGAGAUAAUCAGGUUAGCAUUGCGCCGUUAGCCCUGCGCGUCGGCGCUCGCGCAAUGCGAAAUCCCAAGUAGGCGCACUAUGAGUGUAGAGCUGUUGGUAGGAAGGCUGAUGGACAGGGGUUCGAUUCCCCUCGUCUCCAGAA